RNAcentral lists this long non-coding RNA (1412 nucleotides) under Mus musculus (house mouse). Its description in RNAcentral is "predicted gene, 48954". Lineage: Eukaryota; Metazoa; Chordata; Mammalia; Rodentia; Muridae. The record is from RNAcentral.
ACGACAGGCUAAGAGCUGUGCCCUUCUACCAGGAGCUCAGGUGGCAGCUUCGAGUAGAGUAGUCCUCUUCUGAAGGUGCUUUUGGUGACAGAGCAGCCAUUUCUGGACCUAUCCUGACUGACUGUAAUGCAGUUCUUUGUCCUGCUGACAAUUCUUUGCUUAUUGUCACCCAGUUACAAAUGCUGACCUGUCCUCGAUGCUGACACAACAGUUGUAACCAAGACAGCUCCUGAACGAAACAGGAAAAACCCAUCCAUCUAUAGUGUGUUUAGACAUGGUUUCUAUGGAGAAGAAACAGUCUGGUUGCUUGGAAGGGUGACAACUGAAAGCAAGAUGAUCCAAGUCCCCAGGUCUUUAUGGAAGUCAUAGUUUCGUCUGCUAAGCUGAUAGCAAAGCCACAGGGAGUGCGGCUUCCUUUCUGCUUUGCUCACCAUUUGCCAGGCACUUCUCAAGGCGAGCUUGCGUCCUACAGCUUCAUCCUUACAACAAGGUGUACCUGAUCAUUUACAAAAUAUGUGGGAAGGUCUGGGAGGCAGUUCCCACUCUUUUCCUUGCUAUACGAAGAAAGAAAGAGACAGAAGGAAAUGUUAAAUGGUCACUUUAGGGCCUCAUGGUUAGGAGAUGGGACUAUCAUGCUGCCAAUGUUGUACUACAGGAAGUUCAGCUAUGGUGAGAACAUGACAUAGAGACUCCACUGUCGUCUUAGCCUACCAAUCCUGCUCUGACAAAAGCCCGCAGACUAUGUAGCUUUAAUGACCAAUGCUUACUGUCUAACAGUCCUGGAGUCUGGAAGUCUAAGAUCAGGAUCCGGCAGGGUUGAGUCUGGCCUAAAAGCAAAGGACCUGCUUUCUCAUGAGGCACCAUUUGAAGCCACAAGCCCGAAGCAGCCUCUCUGUAAGUUGACUGCCUCAGAUAUUUACUAUGGAUACAGAGAGCUAACUACCACCAACCCAAAUGAUCCUGGUGCCUAUUAAAAAUGAAACAAAAGAAACGCAGAGACUUGCUCUUCAUUGGAAACACAGCACCUGACGUUUUAGUUACAGAAUACAAAAGGACGGGAGGAAGGAAACAGAGAAGCGAACUCUACGCAUGAUUGUACAUCCUAAGUGGAACCUACCUUCCUCUUCAUUUACCACGAAAGGCCAGCUGUCAUGGAAAGCUGUUCCUGUACCCAUUACCAUUCUUUUAUCAGAAAGGAAGAUAAAACCUUAACAAAAGAACAGAUGAUCUGAGGCCGCUGGUUCCCCCAACUCCAAAUCUGCUUCUGAGAGGAAGUUGCAUCCUUGCAGAAUUAUUAUUAUCAAUCAGCCUUUAUUGCUUCGGCUUUCUUUAUUGCAUUCUAACACACAAAGUAAUGAAAACAUAUAAUAAAGAGAAUAAAACACGCAAUGCAUCACUGUGCAGAUAUCGCA